Molecule: ribosomal RNA, 424 nt
Filed under: uncultured Saprospiraceae bacterium
Lineage: Bacteria; Pseudomonadati; Bacteroidota; Saprospiria; Saprospirales; Saprospiraceae
Description: bacterial SSU rRNA
Rfam family: Bacterial small subunit ribosomal RNA
Source: RNAcentral
UAAGGAAUAUUGGACAAUGGAGGCAACUCUGAUCCAGCCAUCCCGCGUGCAGGACGAAUGCCCUAUGGGUUGUAAACUGCUUUUGUGAGGGAAGAACCGGGCUCAUUCAUGAGCUUUUGACGGUACCUUACGAAUAAGCACCGGCUAACUCCGUGCCAGCAGCCGCGGUAAUACGGAGGGUGCAAGCGUUAUCCGGAAUCACUGGGUUUAAAGGGUGCGUAGGCGGCCUAGUAAGUCAGGGGUGAAAGGUCACGGCUCAACCGUGGAAUUGCCUUUGAUACUGCUGGGCUUGAAUCAGGAUGAGGUCGGCGGAAUGUGGCAUGUAGCGGUGAAAUGCAUAGAUAUGCCAUAGAACACCAAUUGCGAAGGCAGCUGGCUAGACCUUGAUUGACGCUGAGGCACGAAAGCGUGGGGAGCGAACAGG